CGAAGUCAACGCGGGGAACUGAAACAUCUAAGUACCCGUAGGAAAGGAAAUCAACUGAGACUCCGUGAGUAGUGGCGAGCGAAAGCGGACUAGCCCAAACCGUUGGGGUAACUCAACGGGGUUGUGGGGCUCCGACAUGGGAUCUGGAGGACUAGCAGAACGGCUUGGGAAGGCCGGCCAGAGCGGGUGACAGCCCCGUAUGCGAAAGUCCGAGAGACCCUAGGAGAACCCCGAGUAGGGCGGGGCACGUGGAACCCUGUCCGAAGCUGGGAGGACCAUCUUCCAAGGCUAAGUACUCCCUGGUGACCGAUAGUGAACGAGUACCGUGAGGGAAAGGUGAAAAGAACCCCUGCGAGGGGAGUGAAAAGAACCUGAAACCGUGUGUCUACAAGCAGUGGGAGC
Molecule: ribosomal RNA, 402 nt
Filed under: uncultured bacterium
Lineage: Bacteria
Description: bacterial LSU rRNA
Rfam family: Bacterial large subunit ribosomal RNA
Source: RNAcentral